UACGGAGGGUGUAAGCGUUAUCCGGAAUCAUUGGGUUUAAAGGGUCCGUAGGCGGACUAAUAAGUCAGAGGUGAAAUCCCACAGCUUAACUGUGGAACUGCCUUUGAUACUGUUAGUCUUGAGUUAUAUUGAAGUAGAUGGAAUGUGUAGUGUAGCGGUGAAAUGCAUAGAUAUUACACAGAACACCGAUUGCGAAGGCAGUCUACUAAGUAUAUACUGACGCUGAGGGACGAAAGCGUGGGGAUCAAACAGG
RNAcentral lists this ribosomal RNA (253 nucleotides) under uncultured bacterium. Its description in RNAcentral is "partial 16S ribosomal RNA". It matches the Rfam family "Bacterial small subunit ribosomal RNA", at positions 524 to 776 of the family's 1533-position model. The record is from RNAcentral.